UAAUACGUAGGUGACGAGCGUUGUCCGGAAUUAUUGGGCGUAAAGGGAGCGCAGGCGGUUGGAAUAGUCUGAUGUGAAAGCCCACGGCUUAACCGUGGAAGGUCAUUGGAAACUGUCCAACUUGAAUGCAGAAUAGGAAAGCGGAAUUCCAUGUGUAGCGGUGAAAUGCGUAGAUAUAUGGAGGAACACCAGUGGCGAAAGCGGCUUUCUGGUCUGUAAUUGACGCUGAGGCUCGAAAGCGUGGGUAGCAAACAGG
This 256-nucleotide ribosomal RNA is filed under the name uncultured archaeon. RNAcentral describes it as "partial 16S ribosomal RNA". It matches the Rfam family "Bacterial small subunit ribosomal RNA", at positions 521 to 776 of the family's 1533-position model. The record is from RNAcentral.